This 379-nucleotide ribosomal RNA is filed under the name uncultured Thermincola sp. Its description in RNAcentral is "bacterial SSU rRNA". It matches the Rfam family "Bacterial small subunit ribosomal RNA", at positions 1010 to 1382 of the family's 1533-position model. Lineage: Bacteria; Bacillati; Bacillota; Clostridia; Eubacteriales; Thermincolaceae. The record is from RNAcentral.
CGUUCUGCCUUCGGGUAGACAGAGAGACAGGUGGUGCAUGGUUGUCGUCAGCUCGUGUCGUGAGAUGUUGGGUUAAGUCCCCGCAACGAGCCGCAACCCUUUAUCUUUAGUUGCCAUCAGGUAAUGCUGGGCACUCUAGAGAGACUGCCGGUGACAAACCGGAGGAAGUGGGGAUGACGUCAAAUCAUCAUGCCCCUUAUGUCCUGGGCUACACACGUACUACAAUGGCCGGUACAAAGGGCGGCGAAGGGGUGACCCGGAGCAAAUACCCAGCAAAACCGGUCUCAGUUCGGAUUGUAGUCUGCAACUCGACUACAUGAAGUCGGAAUCGCUAGUAAUCGCAGGUCAGCAUACUGCGGUGAAUACGUUCCCGGGCCUU